UAUAGACCCGAAACCCGGUGAUCUAGCCAUGGGCAGGUUGAAGGUUGGGUAACACUAACUGGAGGACCGAACCGACUAAUGUUGAAAAUUAGCGGAUGAACUUGUGGCUGGGGGUGAAAGGCCAAUCAAACCGGGAGAUAGCUGGAUUCUCCCCGAAAGCUAUUUAGGUAGCUGCCUCGUGAACUCAUCUUCGGGGUAGAGCACUGUUUCGGCUAGGGGUCAUCCCGACUUACCAACCGAUGCAA
Molecule: ribosomal RNA, 245 nt
Filed under: Klebsiella pneumoniae
Lineage: Bacteria; Pseudomonadati; Pseudomonadota; Gammaproteobacteria; Enterobacterales; Enterobacteriaceae
Description: partial 23S ribosomal RNA
Rfam family: Bacterial large subunit ribosomal RNA
Source: RNAcentral